RNAcentral lists this ribosomal RNA (466 nucleotides) under uncultured bacterium. Its description in RNAcentral is "bacterial SSU rRNA". It matches the Rfam family "Bacterial small subunit ribosomal RNA", at positions 60 to 516 of the family's 1533-position model. The record is from RNAcentral.
AGUCGAACGGUAACAGGAAGAGCUUGCUUCUUUGCUGACGAGUGGCGGACGGGUGAGUAAUGUCUGGGAAACUGCCUGAUGGAGGGGGAUAACUACUGGAAACGGUAGCUAAUACCGCAUAACGUCGCAAGACCAAAGAGGGGGACCUUCGGGCCUCUUGCCAUCGGAUGUGCCCAGAUGGGAUUAGCUAGUAGGUGGGGUAACGGCUCACCUAGGCGACGAUCCCUAGCUGGUCUGAGAGGAUGACCAGCCACACUGGAACUGAGACACGGUCCAGACUCCUACGGGAGGCAGCAGUGGGGAAUAUUGCACAAUGGGCGCAAGCCUGAUGCACCCAUGCCGCGUGUAUGAAGAAGGCCUUCGGGUUGUAAAGUACUUUCAGCGGGGAGGAAGGGAGUAAAGUUAAUACCUUUGCUCAUUGACGUUACCCGCAAAAGAAGCACCGGCUAACUCCGUGCCAGCAGCC